This 406-nucleotide ribosomal RNA is filed under the name uncultured bacterium. RNAcentral's name for it is "partial 16S ribosomal RNA". It matches the Rfam family "Bacterial small subunit ribosomal RNA", at positions 30 to 526 of the family's 1533-position model. The record is from RNAcentral.
AUUGAACGCUGGCGGCAGGCCUAACACAUGCAAGUCGAACGAGUGGCGGACGGGUGAGUAAUUUCUGGGAAACUGCUUGAUGGAGGGGGAUAACUCCUGGAAACGGUAGCUAAUACCGCAUACCAUCAGAUGUGCCCCGAUGGGAUUAGCUAGUUGGUGGGGUAAUGGCUCACCCAGGCGACGGCCCCUAUCUGGUCGGAGAGGAUGACCAGCCACACUGGACCUGAUGCACGGGCCAGACUCCUACGGGAGGCAGCAGUGGGGAAUAUUGCACAAUGGGCGCAAGCCUGAUGCAGCCAUGCGGCGUGUAUGAAGAAGGCCUUCGGGUUGUAAAGUACUUUCAGCGGGGAGGCGUUACCCGCAGAAGAAGCACCGGCUAACUCCGUGCCAGCAGCCGCGGUAAUAC